GACGAACGCUGGCGGCGUGCCUAAUACAUGCAAGUCGAGCGGACGGAUGGGAGCUUGCUCCCAGACCGUCAGCGGCGGACGGGUGAGUAACACGUGGGCAGCCUGCCUGUAAGACUGGGAUAACUCCGGGAAACCGGGGCUAAUACCGGAUAACUCUUUCCCUCACAUGAGGGAAAGCUGAAAGAUGGCAUCUCGCUAUCACUUACAGAUGGGCCCGCGGCGCAUUAGCUAGUUGGGGAGGUAACGGCUCACCAAGGCGACGAUGCGUAGCCGACCUGAGAGGGUGAUCGGCCACACUGGGACUGAGACACGGCCCAGACUCCUACGGGAGGCAGCAGUAGGGAAUCUUCCGCAAUGGACGAAAGUCUGACGGAGCAACGCCGCGUGAGUGAUGAAGGUUUUCGGAUCGUAAAACUCUGUUGUCAGGGAAGAACAAGUACCGGAGUAACUGCCGGUACCUUGACGGUACCUGACCAGAAAGCCACGGCUAACUACGUG
RNAcentral lists this ribosomal RNA (498 nucleotides) under uncultured bacterium. Its description in RNAcentral is "partial 16S ribosomal RNA". It matches the Rfam family "Bacterial small subunit ribosomal RNA", at positions 28 to 507 of the family's 1533-position model. The record is from RNAcentral.